CCUACGGGAGGCAGCAGUGAGGAAUAUUGGUCAAUGGACGAGAGUCUGAACCAGCCAAGUAGCGUGAAGGAUGACUGCCCUAUGGGUUGUAAACUUCUUUUAUAUGGGAAUAAAACGUUCCACGUGUGGGAUUUUGUAUGUACCAUACGAAUAAGGAACGGCUAACUCCGUGCCAGCAGCCGCGGUAAUACGGAGGAUCCGUGCGUUGUCCGGAUUUAUUGGGUUUAAAGUGAGCGUAGGUGGAUUGUUAAGUCAGGUGUGAAAGUUUGGGGCUCAACCGUAAAAUUGCAGUUGAGACUGGCAGUCUAGAGUACAGUAGAGGUGGGCGGAAUUCGAGGUGUAGCGGUGAAAUGCUUAGAUAUCACGAAGAACUCCGAAUGCGAAGGCAGUUCACUGGACUGCAACUGACACUGAGGCUCGAAAGUGUGGGUAGCAAACAGGAUUAGAUACCCUAGUAGUC
This 460-nucleotide ribosomal RNA is filed under the name uncultured bacterium. Its description in RNAcentral is "partial 16S ribosomal RNA". It matches the Rfam family "Bacterial small subunit ribosomal RNA", at positions 338 to 795 of the family's 1533-position model. The record is from RNAcentral.